CGCAAGGGGAGUUGGCAGACGGGUGAGUAACACGUGGGGAUCUGCCCAAUGGUACGGAAUAGCUCUGGGAAACUGGAAAUAAUACCGUAUGAGCCCGCAAGGGGAAAGAUUUAUCGCCAUUGGAUGAACCCGCGUCGGAUUAGCUAGUUGGUGUGGUAAAGGCGCACCAAGGCGACGAUCCGUAGCUGGUCUGAGAGGAUGAUCAGCCACACUGGGACUGAGACACGGCCCAGACUCCUACGGGAGGCAGCAGUGGGGAAUAUUGGACAAUGGGCGCAAGCCUGAUCCAGCCAUGCCGCGUGAGUGAUGAAGGCCUUAGGGUUGUAAAGCUCUUUCGCCGACGAAGAUAAUGACGGUAGUCGGAGAAGAAGCCCCGGCUAACUUCGUGCCAGCAGCCGCGGUAAUACGAAGGGGGCUAGCGUUGUUCGGAAUCACUGGGCGUAAAGCGCACGUAGGCGGAUAUUUAAGUCAGGGGUGAAAGCCUGGAGCUCAACUCCAGAACUGCCCUUGAUACUGGGUAUCUCGAGUCCGGAAGAGGUAAGUGGAACUGCGAGUGUAGAGGUGAAAUUC
RNAcentral lists this ribosomal RNA (570 nucleotides) under bacterium RBM-C27. RNAcentral describes it as "bacterial SSU rRNA". It matches the Rfam family "Bacterial small subunit ribosomal RNA", at positions 84 to 689 of the family's 1533-position model. The record is from RNAcentral.